Molecule: ribosomal RNA, 447 nt
Filed under: uncultured bacterium
Lineage: Bacteria
Description: bacterial SSU rRNA
Rfam family: Bacterial small subunit ribosomal RNA
Source: RNAcentral
GCCAGACUCCUACGGGAGGCAGCAGUGGGGGAUAUUGCACAAUGGGGGGAACCCUGAUGCAGCGACGCCGCGUGGGUGAAGGAGCGUUUCGGCGCGUAAAGCCCUAUCGGCAGGGAAGAAGGAGGACGGGACCUGACUAAGAAGCCCCGGCUAACUACGUGCCAGCAGCCGCGGUAAUACGUAGGGGGCAAGCGUUAUCCGGAUUUACUGGGUGGAAAGGGGGCGCAGACGGCAGCGCAAGCCAGGAGUGAAAGCCCGGGGCCCAACCCCGGGACUGCUCUUGGAACUGCGCGGCUGGAGUGCAGGAGGGGCAGGCGGAAUUCCUGGUGUAGCGGUGAAAUGCGUAGAUAUCAGGAGGAACACCGGUGGCGAAGGCGGCCUGCUGGACUGUACCUGACGCUGAGGCGCGAAAGCGUGGGUAGCGAACGGGAUUAGAUACCCGCGUAU